UCGGGAUAGCUCAGUUGGUAG
Molecule: transfer RNA, 21 nt
Filed under: Barnadesia caryophylla
Lineage: Eukaryota; Viridiplantae; Streptophyta; Magnoliopsida; Asterales; Asteraceae
Also listed under: 123 other names
Description: partial tRNA-Phe
Source: RNAcentral